GGAACACGUGAAAUUCCGUCGGAAUCCGGGAGGACCAUCUCCCAAGGCUAAAUACUCCAUAGUGAACGAUAGUGAACCAGUACCGUGAGGGAAAGGUGAAAAGCACCCCGGAAGGGGAGUGAAACAGGUCGUGAAACCGUGUGCCUACAAGGAGGUACAGCCCGUUAAUGGGUGAAAGCGUGCCUUCUGUCGAAUGAACCGGCGAGUUACUAUUAGUUGAAAUGUUAAGCGUAAAAAGCGGAGCCGUAGCGAAAG
RNAcentral lists this ribosomal RNA (255 nucleotides) under Listeria monocytogenes. Its description in RNAcentral is "partial 23S ribosomal RNA". It matches the Rfam family "Bacterial large subunit ribosomal RNA", at positions 419 to 677 of the family's 2925-position model. The record is from RNAcentral. Lineage: Bacteria; Bacillati; Bacillota; Bacilli; Caryophanales; Listeriaceae.